RNAcentral lists this ribosomal RNA (505 nucleotides) under uncultured bacterium. Its description in RNAcentral is "partial 16S ribosomal RNA". It matches the Rfam family "Bacterial small subunit ribosomal RNA", at positions 28 to 507 of the family's 1533-position model. The record is from RNAcentral.
GACGAACGCUGGCGGCGUGCCUAAUGCAUGCAAGUAGAACGCACAGUUUAUACCGUAGCUUGCUACACCAUAAACUGUGAGUUGCGAACGGGUGAGUAACGCGUAGGUAACCUGCCUGGUAGCGGGGGAUAACUAUUGGAAACGAUAGCUAAUACCGCAUAAUAUUGAUUAUUGCAUGAUAAUUGAUUGAAAGAUGCUAUUGCAUCACUACCAGAUGGACCUGCGUUGUAUUAGCUAGUAGGUGAGGUAACGGCUCACCUAGGCGACGAUACAUAGCCGACCUGAGAGGGUGAUCGGCCACACUGGGACUGAGACACGGCCCAGACUCCUACGGGAGGCAGCAGUAGGGAAUCUUCGGCAAUGGACGAAAGUCUGACCGAGCAACGCCGCGUGAGUGAAGAAGGUUUUCGGAUCGUAAAGCUCUGUUGUAAGAGAAGAACGGGUGUGAGAGUGGAAAGUUCACACUGUGACGGUAUCUUACCAGAAAGGGACGGCUAACUACGUG